This 253-nucleotide ribosomal RNA is filed under the name uncultured bacterium. Its description in RNAcentral is "partial 16S ribosomal RNA". It matches the Rfam family "Bacterial small subunit ribosomal RNA", at positions 524 to 776 of the family's 1533-position model. The record is from RNAcentral.
CACGUAGGGCGCAAGCGUUGUCCGGAAUUAUUGGGCGUAAAGAGCUCGUAGGUGGUUUGUUACGUCCGCUGUGAAAACCUAGGGCUUAACCCUGGGCUUGCAGUGGAUACGGGCAGACUAGAGGUAGGUAGGGGAGAAUGGAAUUCCUGGUGUAGCGGUGAAAUGCGCAGAUAUCAGGAGGAACACCGGUGGCGAAGGCGGUUCUCUGGGCCUUACCUGACACUGAGGAGCGAAAGCGUGGGGAGCAAACAGG